AUCUAGCUGACGAGUCCCAAACAGGACGAAACGCGCGUCCUGGAU
Molecule: non-coding RNA, 45 nt
Organism: Schistosoma margrebowiei
Lineage: Eukaryota; Metazoa; Platyhelminthes; Trematoda; Strigeidida; Schistosomatidae
Source: Rfam